UGGUGGAGUGAUUUGUCUGGUUUAGUCCGAUAACGAACGAGACCACAAUCUAUUAAAUAGUAGAGCCGACAAGGGGGCUUCCGGGGCGGUCGGGUUCGCUCGGCCAUUUCGGGGGCUCUCAUCAAAUUGUAGGCUAAAUAUACUUCUUAGAGAGACUCUUGAUGAUAAAAAAUCAAUGGAAGAAUGUGGCAAAAACA
RNAcentral lists this ribosomal RNA (197 nucleotides) under uncultured eukaryote. Its description in RNAcentral is "partial 18S ribosomal RNA". It matches the Rfam family "Eukaryotic small subunit ribosomal RNA", at positions 1299 to 1458 of the family's 1831-position model. The record is from RNAcentral.